RNAcentral lists this microRNA (22 nucleotides) under Gyrodactylus salaris (gyrodactylosis fluke). Its description in RNAcentral is "gsa-miR-96a-3p". Its record names the gene gsa-miR-96a-3p. The record is from miRBase by way of RNAcentral. Lineage: Eukaryota; Metazoa; Platyhelminthes; Monogenea; Gyrodactylidea; Gyrodactylidae.
GACGGACCGAGUGUGCUAAACA